UACAUUAUUGUUAUUUUGUUGUUGAUGUGUUAGGCACGUGGUUGAAAACAGCCAAUCACCAGUUUUCUUCUGCCAUAAUGACGUACAACCAGGAAACUUGUUGGUGAAAGCAAAUGAAGAUCUCGAUGAGGCAAAAAUACGUGUGAAAAAAAAGAGAGAAGGAUAAUUUUCGUUUAAACCGCAAAUGAGGAAGGAAGAAAGGAGACAUUUAGUUCUAUAUCUGGAAUAUUAUUUCAUCUUUGCGCUGCGUAGAGUUGUCAAAUAUUAUGAUAGCAAGGGU
Xenia sp. Carnegie-2017 is the source of this 280-nucleotide long non-coding RNA. RefSeq lists it as uncharacterized. The transcript is spliced from 2 exons. Lineage: Eukaryota; Metazoa; Cnidaria; Anthozoa; Malacalcyonacea; Xeniidae. The record is from RefSeq and is a predicted model, not a curated record.